GCUAAUGUAGCUUAAGUAAAGCAUAACACUGAAGAUGUUAAGACAAGCCCUAGAAAGCUUCAAUAGCA
RNAcentral lists this transfer RNA (68 nucleotides) under Ponticola kessleri (bighead goby). RNAcentral's name for it is "tRNA-Phe". It matches the Rfam family "tRNA". Rfam says of the family: Transfer RNA (tRNA) molecules are approximately 80 nucleotides in length. Their secondary structure includes four short double-helical elements and three loops (D, anti-codon, and T loops). The record is from RNAcentral. Lineage: Eukaryota; Metazoa; Chordata; Actinopteri; Gobiiformes; Gobiidae.